UACGAAGGGUGCAAGCGUUACUCGGAAUUACUGGGCGUAAAGCGUGCGUAGGUGGUGAGUUAAGUCUGUCGUGAAAGCCCCGGGCUCAACCUGGGAAUGGCGAUGGAUACUGGCUCGCUAGAGUGCGGUAGAGGAGAGUGGAACGUUCCGGUGUAGCAGUGAAAUGCGUAGAGAUCGGGAGGAACAUCAGUUGCGAAGGCGGCUCUCUGGACCAGCACUGACACUGAGGCACGAAAGCGUGGGGAGCAAACAGG
Molecule: ribosomal RNA, 254 nt
Filed under: uncultured bacterium
Lineage: Bacteria
Description: partial 16S ribosomal RNA
Rfam family: Bacterial small subunit ribosomal RNA
Source: RNAcentral